CAACCUAGAUAGCAUGCAGUCUAAGUACGAGCUCCCGUACAGUGAAACUGCGAAUGGCUCAUUAAAUCAGUUAUGGUUCAUUUGAUCGUACGUGUUACUUGGAUAACUGUGGAAAUGCUAGAGCUAAUACAUGCAUAAAGCGCCGACCUCGCGGGAGGCGUGCUUUUAUCAUACCAAAAACCGACCGGGCUUCGGCUCGUCGCUUUGGUGACUCUGGAUAACUUCGCGGAUCGCACGGUCGAGCACCGGCGACGGAUCAUUCAAGUGUCUGCCCUAUCAACUUUCGUCGGUAGGGUAUCGGCCUACCGAGGUUCUUACUGGUAACGGGGAAUCAAGGUUCGAUUCCUGAGAGGGAGCCUGAGAAACGGCUACCACAUCCAAGGAAGGCAACAGGCGCGCAAAUUACCCAUUCCCGACGCGGGGAGGUAGUGACGAAAAAUAACAAUACAGGACUCUCAACCAGGCCCUGUAAUUGGAAUGAGUACACUUUAAAACCUUUAACGAGUAUCCAUUGGAGGGCAAGUCUGGUGCCAGCAGCCGCGGUAAUUCCAGCUCCAAAAGUGUAUAUUUAAGUUGCUGCGGUUAACAAGCUCGUAGUUGGAUUUUGGGCGCAGGCGGCCGGUCCGUCGCAAGGCGUGCACUGGGCGUCCUGGCCCUACCUACCGUACAACGCCGGUGCUCUUGACUGAGUGUCGGCGGCGGGCCGGGACGUUUACUUAGCAAACAUUAGAGAGUUCUAAUGCAAUGUUGAUCGCCUGAAUGAUCGUCGCAUGCAAUACUGCGAUUACGACCUGUGAUCCUAUCUCAUGGGUCUUACUUGAAUGCGUCGACGGUGAUCAGUAGUGACAGUCAGGGGGCAUACGAGCUGAGCCUUUCCUACUGUCCACUUCAUGGGAUCAUCUCAGAGCAUCGCUGAUGACUGAUACUCAGCAUGUUUCCUAAUAUGAUGUUAAUGACGACGAUCGAUAUUACUGUACAUACUAGUCUGACUCGACUGAUCGAACUAUGAUCUGUACAUAAUAGCGAGGUCUGUCGCUCUGUACCGACUCUCGGAUACCAGAAUUAGCUGCGCGAGAGCUAGUACAUAGCAUGCCACAGUCGAUAGGACUCAAUUGAGCUCGCACGAUUACAUCGAUGAUCGACCUGCAUGACCAGUGCACUG
This 1162-nucleotide ribosomal RNA is filed under the name Ecteinascidia turbinata. Its description in RNAcentral is "bacterial SSU rRNA". The stretch from base 1 to 902 matches the Rfam family "Eukaryotic small subunit ribosomal RNA". Lineage: Eukaryota; Metazoa; Chordata; Ascidiacea; Phlebobranchia; Perophoridae. The record is from RNAcentral.